GAUGAACGCUGGCGGCGUGCCUAAUACAUGCAAGUCGAGCGAACGGACGAGAAGCUUGCUUUUCUGCUGUUAGCGGCGGACGGGUGAGUAACACGUGGAUAACCUACCUCUAAGACUGGGAUAACUUCGGGAAACCGGAGCUAAUACCGGCUAAUAUUUUGAACCGCAUGGUUCAAAAGUGAAAGACGGUCUUGCUGUCACUUAUAGAUGGUUCCGCGCUGCAUUAGCUAGUUGGUAAGGUAACGGCUUACCAAGGCAACGAUGCAUAGCCGACCUGAGAGGGAGAUCCGCCACACUGGAACUGAGACACCGUCCAGACUCCUACGGGAGGCAGCAGGAGGGAAUCUUCCGCAAUGGGCGAAAGCCUGGCUGAGCAACGCCGCGUGAGUGAUGGAGGUCCUCGGAGCGUAAAACUCUGUUAUUAGGGAAGAACAUAUGGGUAAGUAACUGUGCACAGCUUGACGGUACCUAAUCAGAAAGCCACGGCUAACUACGGGC
This 498-nucleotide ribosomal RNA is filed under the name uncultured bacterium. Its description in RNAcentral is "partial 16S ribosomal RNA". It matches the Rfam family "Bacterial small subunit ribosomal RNA", at positions 28 to 508 of the family's 1533-position model. The record is from RNAcentral.